This 426-nucleotide ribosomal RNA is filed under the name uncultured bacterium. RNAcentral describes it as "partial 16S ribosomal RNA". It matches the Rfam family "Bacterial small subunit ribosomal RNA", at positions 354 to 796 of the family's 1533-position model. The record is from RNAcentral.
GUUAGGAAUAUUGGACAAUGGGCGAAAGCCUGAUCCAGCCAUGCCGCGUGAACGAUGAAGGCCUUCGGGUUGUAAAGUUCUUUAGCCGAUGAUUAUAAUGACUGUAGUCGGAAAAUAAGCCCCGGCUAACUUCGUGCCAGCAGCCGCGGUAAUACGAAGGGGGCGAGCGUUAUUCGGAAUCACUGGGCGUAAAGCGUGCGUAGGCGGUUUUGUAAGUUAGGAGUGAAAGCCCAGGGCUCAACCUUGGAAUUGCUCUUAAAACUGCAAGGCUCGAAUCUCGGAGAGGAUAGCGGAAUUUCCAGUGUAGCAGUGAAAUGCGUAGAUAUUGGAAGGAACACCAGUGGCGUAAGCGGCUAUCUGGACGAGUAUUGACGCUGAGGCACGAAAGCGUGGGGAUCAAACAGGAUUAGAUACCCGGGUAGUUCC